RNAcentral lists this unclassified non-coding RNA (295 nucleotides) under plant metagenome. Its description in RNAcentral is "partial contains small subunit ribosomal RNA, internal transcribed spacer 1, and 5.8S ribosomal RNA". The record is from RNAcentral.
UUUCCGUAGGUGAACCUGCGGAAGGAUCAUUAUUGAAUGAACUUGGUAUGAUUGUUGCUGGCCCAUGUGGGCAUGUGCACGUCUGCCAUCUUUAUCUCUCCACCUGUGCACAUAUUGUAGGUCUGGAAUAAAUUUCUGAGGCAACUCAGUAGUGGGGAAUGCUACUGCGAAGUGGCUUUGCCUGUAAUUUCAGAUCUAUGUUUUCAUAUACACCAUAAAAAUGUAACAGAAUGUAUUAAUGGGUCUUGUACCUAUAAACUAUAUACAACUUUCAGCAACGGAUCUCUUGGCUCUC